AUGAGAAUGUCCACAGGUCUGUGAAGCCAC
RNAcentral lists this non-coding RNA (30 nucleotides) under Cricetulus griseus (Chinese hamster). The record is from RNAcentral. Lineage: Eukaryota; Metazoa; Chordata; Mammalia; Rodentia; Cricetidae.